AAGUCGUACGGGAGUUUUUAACUCUAGUGGCGGACGGGUGAGUAACACGUAAGAAUUUGCCUUUAGGAGGGGGACAACAGCUGGAAACGGCUGCUAAUACCCCAUAUGCUUUCGAGUGAAAUGGAUUUCCGCCUAAAGAGAAGCUUGCGGCUGAUUAGCUUGUUGGUGAGGUAAUGGCUCACCAAGGCGACGAUCAGUAUCUGGUUUGAGAGGACGAUCAGACACACUGGAACUGAGACACGGUCCAGACUUCUACGGGAGGCAGCAGUGGGGAAUUUUCCGCAAUGGGCGCAAGCCUGACGGAGCAAUACCGCGUGAGGGAUGAAGGCCUAUGGGUUGUAAACCUCUUUUUUCAGGGAGGAACAAAAUGACGUGUACCUGAAGAAUAAGCAUCGGCUAACUCCGUGCCAGCAGCCGCGGUAAGACGGGGGAUGCAAGUGUUAUCCGGAAUCACUGGGCGUAAAGCGUCUGUAGGUGGUUGCAUAAGUCAACUGUUAAAUCUUGAGGCUUAACCUCAAAAUCGCAGUCGAAACUGUUUGACUAGAGUAUAGUAGGGGUAAAGGGAAUUUCCAGUGGAGCGGUGAAAUGCGUAGAUAUUGGAAAGAACACCGAUGGCGAAGGCACUUUACUGGGCUAUUACUAACACUGAGAGACGAAAGCUAGGGUAGCAAAUGGGAUUAGAUACCCCAGUAGUCCUAGCCGUAAACAAUGGAUACUAGAUGUUGAACAGAUCGACC
RNAcentral lists this ribosomal RNA (737 nucleotides) under uncultured bacterium. RNAcentral describes it as "bacterial SSU rRNA". It matches the Rfam family "Bacterial small subunit ribosomal RNA", at positions 59 to 837 of the family's 1533-position model. The record is from RNAcentral.